GAUGGGUGGAACUAGCCGUGUCAAGAAUGGAAACCCAUUUUCCUCUGCAGCAAUCCUGCCUGCCUCCCAAAGCUCAGAAAUGUGCUGUGCUCAGCGUUCCUGUGUGGAUGCAGCUUCCAUGGUAGAAAGGCAGGGGCGGCGGUAGCAGCCGCAGCAAAGGCUCUAGGGGGUGGGAAUCAGAUUGCACCAUUUCAACCUCCUCUGGCAGCAGAAGCACCGAGUCACAAGGAGGAUGAGGAGGUAGUCCAGAGGCUGCUGGGCUGUGUCACUCUGAAGGUGAACAAAUAUCUGCUGAACGCCAUCCCUGUGCCAGACACAGAGUGAGGUACUAGGACAUUCUUUAUCUCAGGGCUCGUCGCAGCUCCCUACAGCACCGCUCCCCAUACCUGACACGUCAGCAGGCUGAGACUGCACAGCUUUAUCUUCUCACGGUGGAAAUUGCGCUCGGAUGGAUGUUGUCUACCGUUGACACUGAAACGCUGGCUGGGGUCAGAGCUCUGCUUCUCUGAACAGGGAGCCACAAAUGUCACCCACACAUGGCGUUCCCACUCGGGCCUGUGGAGCCUGUUACAAAACCAUCGCUCUGCUUCCCUCCCCCGCUGCCGCAAGAUGAGAGCGCGAGGAUCCUGCAUUGCAGGAAAGGCGCUGGAGCGACCGCAUUGAAACCGUCCUCCAGCUAAACGAAACCAGGCCCGCAAGCAACGCCAAGCAGAGGCAAUAGCCCUCCGUCCCUCUCUUGUCUGACCUUCAGUGGAGAGCAACGAAGACGCCUGUCACUAGCCCCAUCCUUCCACGUAGCAGGGAUUCAGAAACUACCUGGAAUUCGUAAUAAAUAGAACACAGUGGUGAAUCUAAAACCCUGCCCAAAAUGGUGGCGGUCUUGAGCCAAGGCGCCACCAAUACAGUUUUUCCAUCAGAAAAGUAUUUUAGUGGAAGGGAACGUUAUCGCAAUGAUUUAAGUUUUCCUCUAGAGAGAUGGCUUUUUUCCAACCAGCUACAGCCUUUACAUUAAAAAUCUAGUGCAUGGAUGUUUCACACACACACACACACCCAUACAGAUUUCCGCUUCUUGAAAUUUACAAAAACUGCUUAUUUUCUAAGCUCGAAAGCGGUCCAGCCGUGCAUUGUUGGAAAAAAAGCCAGCGCUGAGAGGUUUUGAGCUCACUAUUCUUCGUUUAGGGCAGACACUCAAUAAUGGAGUAGAGCCGAGGUGGCCUGGAAGCUAAAAGGGCAGCGCCCGGGGCCGCCACCCGUUGGGCCCAUACCGGCUGGCAGGCGCCUCUGCGGCCUCCGGAACCUUUCGGCCGUGCGCUCGGGCAGCGAGGUUUCAGGAGAGCUGCUCUGAGCUGCCUGGGCCUGUUCUCGCAUCACUUUCUGUCCUGUAUCCAGAGCUGCCUAAGAAACCCUUGGAAUUUUUUUUUUAACAUACAAAAACAGAAAGAAGGAAGGAAAGAGACAGAGAAAGAGACUGACCCGAGUGGGGAAAGCAGAUGGCCCUGUAUGUGCCUAAAUAUCCCUUUGGAGAGACCGCGAAGAUCUCUCCUCCGGCGUGCGGGGUGGGGAGGGGGGUGUUACUGGAGGGUCAGGCAGGGGUGUGCCGGUCUCUGGCUUUUGCUCUUUGGAGCGGAUUUUGAGUCCUUUACUUAAAGCGCUCAGAAAAAGACACCCAAACACCCGUACAAGCACCACAAUAAAAGGCACUUCCCCGAGGUGUGUCCACAAGUCUGCGGGACUGGUGGCCCAACCAGGAGAUGCACUUCAGAGCCUCUCUAAUCUCCGACGUCCAUCUGGCCCAGGCGGGCGCGCGCGGGCCGGAGGGCGCGAGGAGGGGCGGGGCGCGCGCGUUGCCAGGGGCGCGGGCGCGCGCGCCCGCUCUCCUUCACGUUCACCUUGACUGCUGGGGUGGGGUGAGCCUUUAUCUCCCUACACACCUUUCUCCCCACCCCCAGCCGCUGUCCCGCCCAGACGCCAGCCCCGGGCGGGGUGGGAGGGGGAGGCGGGAGGCUGCUCCCGCGCUCGCUAGGGUCGCCGCAGCGUCCCGGCAGCCACGCGCUCUCCGCAGUGAUGUCAACAGCAUCCGCUGCAGUGCCCCCCAAACCCACCCGCCCCCGCCUCGUCUGCGCCGCGGCCUGUGAGAACCCCAGCCCUGGGGCGAAGGGCAGGCGGCUGCGAGACCCUCCCCCCUUCUCCGUGUGCCGUAGUGCGAAGCCCGCAUCGUAGACCAACCGCGGCGCGGCGACCACUGGGGCGCAGGCGGAAAGGGACAGAGAGGAGGGGGCCAGGGAGACAGGUGUAGAUUUGACACCCUGAGCGCCAGGAGGGCCCUGCCCAGGCCUGGAGCCUCCAGGGUGGCAUGAGGAGGCCGGAUGGCGAGCAAUGAGCACUGCAGAUGCGGCGGGUGGGGCGCGCGAGGGGAAGGCGCCCCCUGCUCCCGGGAUGGAAACGGAUAAACGGAAGCGCAUGCGGGGGGAGGGGGUGCGAAUCGCCACCUCCGGCCUUGGCUUUCCCGCUCUUCCGAGCGCUCCCAUUUCUCACUUUCCCCAAAUCCGCAUUUUCCUUGGCACAGUUCUCCCAAGCACCAAGGAGAGAGAGGGAGGUGCCCGGGGGCAGCGAGAAUGACGUGCGCUGGUGCAGAGGGGGUGGGGGCUGCGGGCCGGUCUCUGAGCUCGGGCUCCUAAUCCUCUUGUUUCGGAACCGUCAGCAGAUGCGGCUCCUCUCAGCUGAAUAAUCCAUUAAAGGAAUAAUAAUUUUUUUUUAAAAAAGGGGAUCGAUCUCACCAACGAGGACUAGGAACCAGAUCGGGGCUUGUAGAUUCACCGCCUUUGGUUGGGCUGGCUCAGAUGCUGCUACGAACCACAGUCUCUUAAAAAGGAGGAAAAAAAAACAGAUGAAGACCUUGGGUGGAUGCCGGAACAAAGCAGCGUGGGCUCUCGGGCGAGAAGCGACGCGCUGGAGCCGUAGCUCCAGACUCCGACAGGAGUGAUCUCCGCCGCACAGCAACGCCCGCGGUGCGCGCGGAUCUCUCAGGGUAUUCGGGAUGAAUUUUCUUGAUCUUUUUGACAUAGCUUUAAGUGCCAGGGUUAGAACUAGGGUUGGGGUUGUUGGUUUUUUUCUGGAGGAUCAGUCAAUGGAGGACAAUUCGGAAGGAUCUAACUCGGCUUUCCUGGCCCCCCCCCCCCCGCUUUGCCUUCUUCAGAGGUGGGUACUGGGAAAGGGGAGCGGGGACCAGAAAGCUUUGAAAAGCUAAACAGCAGCCGGACGUUGCUGCUGCUGCUCUACAGGGCUCAGGGCUGGUUGGGCGAGGUAGAGAUGAGUAGGACGGGCCAGCAGAAGGGUGGCGGUCCAGGGGGGGCCGAGGCUUGCCAGGGAUGGGAAUCUGGGUGUCCACGGAGAGGACCUGCCCAUGAGAAACUGCCGUGUCCCUCUCCGCGCAAAAAGAGGCGGCGGCUGGGUUUGUGUGUAAACAGUGGAGAGGUAGAGGAGGAAAAGGGUGGUGGGGGCUUCCAAUAACGUCUUAUUGUCCCUUUGAUUCUGAGGACUCUCCUCCGCUCCCUUUUUUUAAACUCUGGGAUCCGGCCACAUUUUAUACCGGUGACCUUUGAAAUCUACGCCCACCUUUAGCCCGGUAAAGCCCAUUGGCAGCAAGGGUGGGGUGGAGAGAAUGUAGGGGUGUCUGUCUCCCUCCUCCUCCCUCCCUUCCCUUCCCCCCUCUUUUCCUCUCCCUCCCUCUCUGUCUCCCUCGGCCCCCCCAUCUCUCUCUUCCUCCCUCCCACCUCCCUCGCUCCCUCCCUCCCUGCUACAUUUUGCAUGAGCUAUCUAGGUCAUUAGCAUUUUAGCGUAUGCAAGACUUGACAAAGCUGAUGAGGGGCCAGAUGGGCCUCGCUCUUAUGGCUUUUUUUUUUCUCCCUCUUUUCCUUUUUCUCCUACCACUUGGGACCUGAACGAGAGGACUGCAUCAGCAAGGAGGCCGCUCCCCAGAUCCUGGCCCCGGACCCAGGCAGCUCGCCCCUGCGGCAGAACUCGGCCCGGGCUGCGUCUGGACUCAGCCACUCAGGAAAAGGCCUGGAUGCGGGAGAACAAAGAGCCUUUGGAAGACGUCGCGGUUAUCUCAUUGUCUGCGCGACUAGGGGAGCUGCGGUAGGGAGGGUGCUGCGGUCCUUUCCUGCCGGCGCUCCCCGCCCCCACCCCUCCCGCUGUCAGCGCGCACGCACUCGCCCGCUUUUUAUUCCUCUUUCCUCUUUCCCUCACUCCUGACUUCUCCCCGCCCCCUCCCUUUCUUUCAUCUUCCCUUACUUCCUCCUUCCCUUCCUUCCUCAGGAUAAAGGCCUCUCUCUCCGUGUUCACAGCGGACCUUGAUUUAAAUGUCCAUACAAUUAAGGCACGCGGUGAAUGCCAAGAAUGGGGCUGGCUGAGCACCAUGGGCCGAGCGCCCACCGAGGAAGGAAGGAGCCGCUGAGCCUGGCCGGGCUUGCCCACCUGGUGGCCCUGCACCAGACCUGGACCUGAGCCGUGGGGCGGGGAGGUGUGUGGCUCAACACCGAAAAGGGUUUGGAGAGCGCAGGGACCUAGGGAGGGAAGCAGAUCUGGUCACAGACAGACCUGUGCUGGUGCAGAUGGGGGUGGGAGGAGUUCCGCGAGCCUUGGCCAAGGACUGCUGUGCUGUUUCUCUCUGGGCUCCUGUGCCUAGAACAUGGAUGGGCACCUUUUUCUGUGGCCAUGUUUUUGUUCUGGAUUUAGCCUUUAGUUUGCCUUUUAAAAUAACAAUAAUAAUAAUAAUAAUUUGACAUUCAGGAGACUGGCAGACUGCCCCAGGAUUGGGCUGCAGUAGAUUGUCUUCUGCUUGAGGUUUCGGAUGGGGAUUAUUUGCAAGGCAAGGGAGCUGCUUGUCACCCUUUGCUGUAGGCUGUGGGUACCUGAGGACCCUAAGGACCUCACUGGGCUCUGCAGACAAGAAGAAAUAAGCUCCUGGAGGUUUCACAAGCUGCAUCAGGGCUGAAAGCCCAGCAGUCCAGGGGCUCCAAAGAGCCCUCCCACCCAUCUUGCUGUUCCUCCAGUUCCAGGCACAUAUCCAGGAGCUACAGUGCAAGGGAGAGGUGCAAUAACCCACGCCUACCAAAAGGAGGGCUGCAGUCCUCCUAGAAUCUGAACAGAAGGAAAAACAGCGUGUGUACAAGUGGGGGUCUGAGGAAAGACUUGUUUUGAAAGAGGCUGUCAGGGCACAGAGGGGUUAAUCUCCCCUCAUCUUGAAGACCCUCAUUACCAAUUCCAGCCUUGCUCCCAUUGCAGUCCCCAGGCUGCAGCUGGUUCUGCAGACCCCAUCACAGUCCCAUCCCACCCCCAGAUCAGCCAGCUGCGGCGGAUGGUGCAGGAUCCGAACUCAUUAAUUUCCAGGUGGAGAGAAUGGAGGAGGGGUUGGUCCCCACAGCAGAGGGAAGGGCAGGGAAAGGAGGCCAAGACCCAGGAAGCCUGCCGUAGCCCUUCCCCCCUGGUGUGGCCACAGGCUGUCUGCAAGGCCAGGGCCACAGCGGAUGCCUAGGAGUUUAAUUUGAUUCCUGAUAACGGUAAUUGAGGCCUACCCAAGUGUCCAUAAAAGCUUAUUGAAGGUCUUCUCCCCAAAGCCUCAGUCUAGCCCAGGAAAUAAACUAGUAUUCCACGACACCCGAGGGUCAGAACCCCUGCUGGCUGUUGUCAUCACAGGUAUUCAUUUGAGUGCCGAUGUGCCUGUCUUUGUGCAAUUAUUACAUCUUAGGUUCUCUUGGCCCUCCUAACGGAGUGCUUGGAGUCAGAGAGGCGGAGACUAAGUGUGCCACACCCUACCUAAGUACCUCCUGAACCUUCUCUGGGCCUCAGAAACACACCCCAUCCUCCUCCUUGCCCCUGCAGAGGGAAGGCUGCAGUGUACAUCAUGCGACUGCGGCAGCUACACUGCCCCCAGUCCCAGAAGGCAAUCUUGGCAGCAGGACAGGGAGAGAGCACUGCUCUCACUCGAGCCUCAGCACAGAUGAUCCCAAGUGACAGUACCCACUGGCUCUACAGUGCACAUCCCUGGACACCAGUGGCCCCCUCAUGCUAGGUGCCUUCUGCCCUUUCUGGCUGGGGAAAGCAGCCAGUGUGCUUUUCCUUCCUGGGGGUGCCUCCUCUGACUGACCCCUACCAUGCUCAUAGAGAAGGCUGAUCUAAGCCUUUGAUGCCCUCGCCCCACAAAAGUCUGUAUUAGCAAGUCCCUGCUCUAGCUUCCCUAAAAUUCCUUCAGAUGUUGCUGUACCCUCACGGAUGGGCCCUGGAGGUACAGUCUCCCCAUGAGUUGCCCUUUUAGGUGGAAACCUGACCUGCUGCUCCCAAGAGCUUUCCCCCAGGCGCCAUGGGUAAGGCCUGCCUGCCUUUCUACCUACCGGGGUUUCCAGCGCAAUCUACCCUGACAGGCAUGAAGUUUUAUAUUUAUUCCUUACAUAAACUCAUUCCAGAAAGCAGGAGUGGUGUGGGUUUGCUGCGUCUGAGUGCAAUGAUAAGAGUAUUUGCCUGUGUCCACCAUGUGGUUUUUUGUGGAGCUUUAAUGGCCCUCUCUGCCCCCUGUGUAAUUUCAAGGUCCCUUUUUGUGUUGACCAAAUGAAGGAUCAGCAAAGGUCAACCAGAUCUGCCUCCGUUCCUCUAAAUUCAGGGCCUAUUUAUGCCUAGAAUAAUUAAGCAGAGAGCCUAAAGAUUCUGCUCUUUGAAGUUAUUUCAUCCUCAACAUCGUCUUUUCUCCUGUUUGAGCCCUCAAUUUCAUCAUACAGCUAAGGCCAAGAGUGAAAUAUGUAUCGUUGGAAAUGUAGGGCAGAAUUGACGCAGUGCGCUGACCAAGUACAUUAAGAAGGUCCCCUGGGUUCAGGUACACCGCUGGUCCUGUCCUCAUCAGCGUGGGAGCACCUGUGUUUCUCAAGGUAACUGUGACCAUUACUGGAUAGAUUGUGCCAAAGGGAAAAUUGCUAAUCUUUCCGCCAGAGACAACCGAGAUCUGUUUCAGAGGGAGGGGGUAAAAAAUUGACCCUUUAGGGGCUGGGGAUUUAGCUCAGCGGCAUAAGCACCUGCCUUGGAAGCAGGCCUUCGUGAGUUCGAUCCCCGGUACCAAUAAAAAGGAAAAAAAAAAUUGACCCUUUAUCAGAAGCUACGCUAAAGCCUAAUUAUUUGGUAUCAAAGGGGGGAGGAGCUUCUGUGACCCAGCCAGGAGCUUUAACUGGAGAAAUUGACCUUUAGGGGAGACAUGAGCCCUCCAACAGAUGCAUACCCCCAUUUUUCCCACCGGCUCAUAUUUAUAGUAAGAUACUUAGACACACACAAAAAACCUGGCUGGUCAUAGUCUCCACGGGGAAAUUUUCUUUCCUAGUUGAACUUGUGCCCACCCCCCACUCCAGCCUCAGCACACAGUUCUUGCUCUGGGGGCAGCUGCAUAUCCUUUUCCCUGGGACAGAUGGAGCUACCCUUCCUCACUGGCUCUGUGGGUGGCUUUGGAGCCCUGUGAGUCAACACGAGCUGACUGGGGAGUGUGCUGGUGUGGUGUGUGUGUGUGUACGCACGCGCGCAUGCACUUAGCCUUGGCGGGCUGAUUCACACUGAGGAGGAUGUCAAUAUCCACGAUGAGAAUAAUGGUUCUAAUAAAGAUUUUUUUUUUCCACUUCCAA
Molecule: long non-coding RNA, 7658 nt
Organism: Cavia porcellus (domestic guinea pig)
Lineage: Eukaryota; Metazoa; Chordata; Mammalia; Rodentia; Caviidae
Exons: 6
Source: RefSeq, a predicted model, not a curated record